This 486-nucleotide ribosomal RNA is filed under the name uncultured bacterium. RNAcentral describes it as "bacterial SSU rRNA". It matches the Rfam family "Bacterial small subunit ribosomal RNA", at positions 19 to 518 of the family's 1533-position model. The record is from RNAcentral.
CUGGCUCAGGAUGAACGCUGGCGGCGUGCUAACACAUGCAAGUCGAACGAAGCAGCUUCUGCUGCAAGAAAGCUGACUAGUGGCGGACGGGUGAGUAACGCGUGGGUAACCUGCCUCAUACAGGGGGAUAACAGUUGGAAACGGCUGCUAAGACCGCAUAACCCGCUAGUGUCGCAUGACACGGACGGAAAAUAUUUAUAGGUAUGAGAUGGGCCCGCGUCUGAUUAGCUAGUUGGUAAGGUAACGGCUUACCAAGGCGACGAUCAGUAGCCGACUUGAGAGAGUGAUCGGCCACAUUGGGACUGAGACACGGCCCAAACUCCUACGGGAGGCAGCAGUGGGGAAUAUUGGACAAUGGGGGAAACCCUGAUCCAGCGAACCGCCGCGUGAGUGAAGAAGUAUUUCGGUAUGUAAAGCUCUAUCAGCAGGGAAGAUAAUGACAGUACCUGACUAAGAAGCCCCGGCUAACUACGUGCCAGCAGCCGC